GAUGAACGCUGGCGGCGUGCCUAAUACAUGCAAGUCGAGCGAGCGGACGAGAAGCUUGCUUCUCUGAUGUUAGCGGCGGACGGGUGAGUAACACGUGGAUAACCUACCUAUAAGACUGGGAUAACUUCGGGAAACCGGAGCUAAUACCGGAUGAUAUUUUGAACCGCAUGGUUCAAAAGUGAAAGACGGUCUUGCUGUCACUUAUAGAUGGAUCCGCGCUGCAUUAGCUAGUUGGUAAGGUAACGGCUUACCAAGGCAACGAUGCAUAGCCGACCUGAGAGGGUGAUCGGCCACACUGGAACUGAGACACGGUCCAGACUUCUACGGGAGGCAGCAGUAGGGAAUCUUCCGCAAUGGGCGAAAGCCUGACGGAGCAACGCCGCGUGAGUGAUGAAGGUCUUCGGAUCGUAAAACUCUGUUAUUAGGGAAGAACAUAUGUGUAAGUAACUGUGCACAUCUUGACGGUACCUAAUCAGAAAGCCACGGCUAACUACGUG
RNAcentral lists this ribosomal RNA (497 nucleotides) under uncultured bacterium. Its description in RNAcentral is "partial 16S ribosomal RNA". It matches the Rfam family "Bacterial small subunit ribosomal RNA", at positions 28 to 507 of the family's 1533-position model. The record is from RNAcentral.